UGGGGAAUCUUGCACAAUGGGGGCAACCCUGAUGCAGCGACGCCGCGUGAGCGAUGAAGCCCUUCGGGGCGUAAAGCUCUUUCGACCGGAACGAUAAUGACGGUACCCGGAGAAGAAGCUGCGGCUAACUACGUGCCAGCAGCCGCGGUAAUACGUAGGCAGCAAGCGUUGUUCGGAGUUACUGGGCGUAAAGAGUGCGUAGGCGGUUUUCUAAGUUCGGUGUGAAAUCUCCCGGCUUAACUGGGAGGGUGCGCCGAAGACUGGGAAGCUGGAGUGUGGGAAAGGCAGGCGGAAUUCCUGGUGUAGCGGUGAAAUGCGUAGAUAUCAGGAGGAACACCGGCGGUGUAGACGGCUUGCUAGACCAUAACUGACGCUGAGGCACGAAAGCGUGGGUAGCAAACA
This 402-nucleotide ribosomal RNA is filed under the name uncultured bacterium. Its description in RNAcentral is "bacterial SSU rRNA". It matches the Rfam family "Bacterial small subunit ribosomal RNA", at positions 355 to 774 of the family's 1533-position model. The record is from RNAcentral.